Molecule: ribosomal RNA, 1417 nt
Filed under: Streptococcus salivarius
Lineage: Bacteria; Bacillati; Bacillota; Bacilli; Lactobacillales; Streptococcaceae
Description: bacterial SSU rRNA
Rfam family: Bacterial small subunit ribosomal RNA
Source: RNAcentral
GCAAGUAGAACGCUGAAGAGAGGAGCUUGCUCUUCUUGGAUGAGUUGCGAACGGGUGAGUAACGCGUAGGUAACCUGCCUUGUAGCGGGGGAUAACUAUUGGAAACGAUAGCUAAUACCGCAUAACAAUGGAUGACACAUGUCAUUUAUUUGAAAGGGGCAAUUGCUCCACUACAAGAUGGACCUGCGUUGUAUUAGCUAGUAGGUGAGGUAACGGCUCACCUAGGCGACGAUACAUAGCCGACCUGAGAGGGUGAUCGGCCACACUGGGACUGAGACACGGCCCAGACUCCUACGGGAGGCAGCAGUAGGGAAUCUUCGGCAAUGGGGGCAACCCUGACCGAGCAACGCCGCGUGAGUGAAGAAGGUUUUCGGAUCGUAAAGCUCUGUUGUAAGUCAAGAACGAGUGUGAGAGUGGAAAGUUCACACUGUGACGGUAGCUUACCAGAAAGGGACGGCUAACUACGUGCCAGCAGCCGCGGUAAUACGUAGGUCCCGAGCGUUGUCCGGAUUUAUUGGGCGUAAAGCGAGCGCAGGCGGUUUGAUAAGUCUGAAGUUAAAGGCUGUGGCUCAACCAUAGUUCGCUUUGGAAACUGUCAAACUUGAGUGCAGAAGGGGAGAGUGGAAUUCCAUGUGUAGCGGUGAAAUGCGUAGAUAUAUGGAGGAACACCGGUGGCGAAAGCGGCUCUCUGGUCUGUAACUGACGCUGAGGCUCGAAAGCGUGGGGAGCGAACAGGAUUAGAUACCCUGGUAGUCCACGCCGUAAACGAUGAGUGCUAGGUGUUGGAUCCUUUCCGGGAUUCAGUGCCGCAGCUAACGCAUUAAGCACUCCGCCUGGGGAGUACGACCGCAAGGUUGAAACUCAAAGGAAUUGACGGGGGCCCGCACAAGCGGUGGAGCAUGUGGUUUAAUUCGAAGCAACGCGAAGAACCUUACCAGGUCUUGACAUCCCGAUGCUAUUUCUAGAGAUAGAAAGUUACUUCGGUACAUCGGUGACAGGUGGUGCAUGGUUGUCGUCAGCUCGUGUCGUGAGAUGUUGGGUUAAGUCCCGCAACGAGCGCAACCCCUAUUGUUAGUUGCCAUCAUUCAGUUGGGCACUCUAGCGAGACUGCCGGUAAUAAACCGGAGGAAGGUGGGGAUGACGUCAAAUCAUCAUGCCCCUUAUGACCUGGGCUACACACGUGCUACAAUGGUUGGUACAACGAGUUGCGAGUCGGUGACGGCAAGCUAAUCUCUUAAAGCCAAUCUCAGUUCGGAUUGUAGGCUGCAACUCGCCUACAUGAAGUCGGAAUCGCUAGUAAUCGCGGAUCAGCACGCCGCGGUGAAUACGUUCCCGGGCCUUGUACACACCGCCCGUCACACCACGAGAGUUUGUAACACCCGAAGUCGGUGAGGUAACCUUUUGGAGCCAGCCGCCU